Molecule: ribosomal RNA, 497 nt
Filed under: uncultured bacterium
Lineage: Bacteria
Description: partial 16S ribosomal RNA
Rfam family: Bacterial small subunit ribosomal RNA
Source: RNAcentral
GAUGAACGCUGGCGGCGUGCCUAAUACAUGCAAGUCGAGCGAACGGACGAGAAGCUUGCUUCUCUGAUGUUAGCGGCGGACGGGUGAGUAACACGUGGAUAACCUACCUAUAAGACUGGGAUAACUUCGGGAAACCGGAGCUAAUACCGGAUAAUAUUUUGAACCGCAUGGUUCAAAAGUAAAAGACGGUCUUGCUGUCACUUAUAGAUGGAUCCGCGCUGCAUUAGCUAGUUGGUAAGGUAACGGCUUACCAAGGCAACGAUGCAUAGCCGACCUGAGAGGGUGAUCGGCCACACUGGAACUGAGACACGGUCCAGACUCCUACGGGAGGCAGCAGUAGGGAAUCUUCCGCAAUGGGCGAAAGCCUGACGGAGCAACGCCGCGUGAGUGAUGAAGGUCUUCGGAUCGUAAAACUCUGUUAUUAGGGAAGAAUAUAUGUGUAAGUAACUGUGCACAUCUUGACGGUACCUAAUCAGAAAGCCACGGCUAACUACGUG